RNAcentral lists this ribosomal RNA (119 nucleotides) under Pteropus alecto (black flying fox). The record is from RNAcentral. Lineage: Eukaryota; Metazoa; Chordata; Mammalia; Chiroptera; Pteropodidae.
GUCUACGACCAUGCCACCCUGAACAAGCCCAAUGCCUUCUGAUUUCAGAAGCUAAGCAGGGACGGGCCUGGUUAGUACUUGAAUGGGAGACCACCUAGGAAAACCAGGUACUAUAGGCA